GGGUAAGACUUUUUUAACUUGAGC
This 24-nucleotide non-coding RNA is filed under the name Gossypium hirsutum (cotton). Lineage: Eukaryota; Viridiplantae; Streptophyta; Magnoliopsida; Malvales; Malvaceae. The record is from RNAcentral.